This is a long non-coding RNA of Toxorhynchites rutilus septentrionalis, 1185 nucleotides long. RefSeq lists it as uncharacterized. NCBI's taxonomy places the organism in Eukaryota, Metazoa, Arthropoda, Insecta, Diptera, Culicidae. The record is from RefSeq and is a predicted model, not a curated record. The transcript has 5 exons.
AUACUAUAGGUGGACCGCAAUGUCAAAAUUGCUGUUCAAUUGCUGUUCGUCCAUUGCUCGUCAGAAAACAAAUCAUAUCUUUUGGUGACAAAUGCAUUCGUUGGCAAAAUAGCUGCUCGCGCUUUACUGUAGGCAGAUAUCUACAAUCAGCGGUCGAAUUAAGAACAGUGCAGAAGGAUGUUUUGAGUAUAUUUUACCUUCUAGCCGCGCAAUCAAUGCUUUUCUUUCCAAGCAAGCAGCGUUUUAAUCGGCAAAAGCAUGAAAUAGAAUCGUACGUGGUACGAAUUUAUCGGCACAAUCUGAUCAAGGACGGAGGCAUCAUCAAACGGAAACUACGCGAGAAACUUUUCGAAGAGAUAAAAUUGAUUGAUUGAUUGAUUAUUUGAUUUAUUUCAGUCGGCUUUAACCUUUCAGGUCAUUCGCCGUCUAUCGAAAAAUAUUGAUAUUACAAAUGUAUACAAUGUUAUUACAUGACGUGGUGAAAAAUAAACGAAACAUUGAACAACUUUAAACUUCUGUAGUGAACGCAACCGCUCCAGAUGUGUAGCAUGCUUACUGCGCAGAUUAUCUCGUCCGUUUCUUUUCUUCCUCGUAGCCGUGGCAGAUUGUAAAUUGCAGUACGCCGGAUACACUAAAGUGUGUGGCAUUUGUGUCAUUGGUGGCUGAGCCCGACCUUCGAAAUAAAAACGAUGUACACUUUUGGAUUUAAAAUAGCUUAGCAGAACAACCGAUCGGUAUGGAGGCUCUACAUGAACUGCGAAGAGAUAAAACUGCGCCGCAACACUCGUGUCAAAAUGGGUGCUGAUGAACCACGAUUUGAUAACACGUAAUGAGCCAAUCCAACAGCAUGCCAAUGGUAAUCGACCAAAUCAUUUUAAAUUCAACAUGGAGCGGUUGCGAAACCUACAAUCACGCUGAGUUGACUUCCAAAAAGCGAAACAAAUUCCUGCGUAUGCUGGAUGCAAUUUUACAAAACAACAAAGUUUUGAAGGAAAUUAAAGAGAUGGUAGUGGCGAAUCGAUUUCUAUCGGAAAUUCGUUAUGUGACUGCGGUGGAACGUAUGCUGAAACACAAUUUGGACCCCUCUUUGCGCUGCUGCUUUGUAUGCCGAGAGUAUUUCCGCACUGCCGAUGAGUAUACCAGUCAUUCCGAAAAAUUGCACGGUGAGAAAUUUCUUAUUGUUGC